This 492-nucleotide ribosomal RNA is filed under the name uncultured bacterium. RNAcentral's name for it is "partial 16S ribosomal RNA". It matches the Rfam family "Bacterial small subunit ribosomal RNA", at positions 29 to 507 of the family's 1533-position model. The record is from RNAcentral.
AGUGAACGCUGGCGGUAGGCCUAACACAUGCAAGUCGAACGGCAGCACAGUAAGAGCUUGCCCUUACGGGUGGCGAGUGGCGGACGGGUGAGGAAUACAUCGGAAUCUACUUUUUCGUGGGGGAUAACGUAGGGAAACUUACGCUAAUACCGCAUACGACCUACGGGUGGAAGCAGGGGAUCUUCGGACCUUGCGCGAUUGAAUGAGCCGAUGUCGGAUUAGCUAGUUGGCGGGGUAAAGGCCCACCAAGGCGACGAUCCGUAGCUGGUCUGAGAGGAUGAUCAGCCACACUGGAACUGAGACACGGUCCAGACUCCUACGGGAGGCAGCAGUGGGGAAUAUUGGACAAUGGGCGCAAGCCUGAUCCAGUCAUACCGCGUGGGUGAAGAAGGCCUUCGGGUUGUAAAGCCCUUUUGUUGGGAAAGAAAAGCAGCAGGUUAAUACCCCGCUGUUCUGACGGUACCCAAAGAAUAAGCACCGGCUAACUUCGUG